Molecule: ribosomal RNA, 193 nt
Filed under: uncultured Bifidobacterium sp.
Lineage: Bacteria; Bacillati; Actinomycetota; Actinomycetes; Bifidobacteriales; Bifidobacteriaceae
Description: partial 16S ribosomal RNA
Rfam family: Bacterial small subunit ribosomal RNA
Source: RNAcentral
UACUCCUACGGGAGGCAGCAGUGGGGAAUAUUGCACAAUGGGCGCAAGCCUGAUGCAGCGACGCCGCGUGCGGGAUGGAGGCCUUCGGGUUGUAAACCGCUUUUGUUCAAGGGCAAGGCAGGCUUUCGGGCCUGUUGAGUGGAUUGUUCGAAUAAGCACCGGCUAACUACGUGCCAGCAGCCGCGGGUAAUAA